GCGGUGGUAGCUCAGCUGGUUAGAGCGCUUCCCUGUCACGGAAGAGGUCGCGAGUUCGAAUCUCGUCCACCGCG
Molecule: transfer RNA, 74 nt
Filed under: Minisyncoccota bacterium
Lineage: Bacteria; Bacillati; Minisyncoccota
Description: tRNA-Asp
Rfam family: tRNA
About the family: Transfer RNA (tRNA) molecules are approximately 80 nucleotides in length.
Source: RNAcentral